RNAcentral lists this ribosomal RNA (435 nucleotides) under uncultured bacterium. Its description in RNAcentral is "bacterial SSU rRNA". It matches the Rfam family "Bacterial small subunit ribosomal RNA", at positions 29 to 507 of the family's 1533-position model. The record is from RNAcentral.
AGCGAACGCUGGCGGCAGGCUUAACACAUGCAAGUCGAGCGGGCGUAGCAAUACGUCAGCGGCAGACGGGUGAGUAACGCGUGGGAACGUACCUUUUGGUUCGGAACAACACAGGGAAACUUGUGCUAAUACCGGAUAAGCCCUUACGGGGAAAGAUUUAUCGCCGAAAGAUCGGCCCGCGUCUGAUUAGCUAGUUGGUGAGGUAACGGCUCACCAAGGCGACGAUCAGUAGCUGGUCUGAGAGGAUGAUCAGCCACAUUGGGACUGAGACACGGCCCAAACUCCUACGGGAGGCAGCAGUGGGGAAUAUUGGACAAUGGGGGCAACCCUGAUCCAGCCAUGCCGCGUGAGUGAUGAAGGCCCUAGGGUCGUAAAGCUCUUUUGUGCGGGAAGAUAAUGACGGUACCGCAAGAAUAAGCCCCGGCUAACUUCGUG